This 507-nucleotide ribosomal RNA is filed under the name uncultured Glomeromycotina. RNAcentral describes it as "partial small subunit ribosomal RNA". It matches the Rfam family "Eukaryotic small subunit ribosomal RNA", at positions 591 to 1092 of the family's 1831-position model. Lineage: Eukaryota; Fungi; Glomeromycota. The record is from RNAcentral.
CCAAUAGCGUAUAUUAAAGUUGUUGCAGUUAAAAAGCUCGUAGUUGAAUUUCGGGAUUGACCCAUCGGUCGUGCCUUAAGGGGUAUGAACUGGUGUAGUCAAUUUCUCACCUUCUGGAGAACCGCGAUGUCCUUAAUUGGGUGCCGCGAGGAACCAGGACCUUUACUUUGAAAAAAUUAGAGUGUUUAAAGCAGGCAUUUUUGCUUGAAUACAUUAGCAUGGAAUAAUAAAAUAGGACGGCAUGAUUCUAUUUUGUUGGUUUCUAGGAUCACCGUAAUGAUUAAUAGGGAUAGUUGGGGGCAGUAGUAUUCAAUUGUCAGAGGUGAAAUUCUUGGAUUUAUUGAAGACUAACUACUGCGAAAGCAUUUGCCAAGGAUGUUUUCAUUAAUCAAGAACGAAAGUUAGGGGAUCGAAGACGAUAAGAUACCGUCGUAGUCUUAACCAUAAACUAUGCCGACUAGGAAUCAGACGAUGUUAAUUUUUUAAUGACUCGUUUGGCACCUUACG